RNAcentral lists this ribosomal RNA (253 nucleotides) under uncultured bacterium. Its description in RNAcentral is "partial 16S ribosomal RNA". It matches the Rfam family "Bacterial small subunit ribosomal RNA", at positions 524 to 776 of the family's 1533-position model. The record is from RNAcentral.
UACGGGGGGGGCAAGCGUUGUUCGGAAUUACUGGGCGUAAAGGGCUCGUAGGCGGCCAACUAAGUCAGACGUGAAAUCCCCAGGCUCAACCUGGGAACUGCGUCUGAUACUGGAUGGCUUGAAUUCGGGAGAGGGAUGCAGAAUUCCAGGUGUAGCGGUGAAAUGCGUAGAUAUCUGGAGGAACACCGGUGGCGAAGGCGGCAUCCUGGACCAAUUCUGACGCUGAGGAGCGAAAGCCAGGGGAGCAAACGGG